UGCGUGCUCACUGCUCUAUCUGUCAGAUUCCGGCUCCGAUUCGGUCCCGGUCACGUUUUCUUCUUCUAAUUGUGUUCCCAUCUCUCACUUUCUCUCUCAUGUGUUCUUCAUCUCUCAAAGGUAUGAAAUGUUAUCUUGGGGUUUUCUUCUGGGGGAAGAGAAUGACAUAGAGCAUUUUUGGUGAGCUAGGAAGACAGAUCAAAGAGGCUCUAAGUUUGUCAAAGGUUUGGAUUAUCUAUAUCGAUAUUUUGGUAGCCACCCCUUUCAAAUUGGUCAUGCAAAGUCAAAAAGAGAUGAAUACUGCAGGGCUUUUGCGUAACCUAUUUGUAAUAUUCUGUGGUACUGAUUAAGAGUUGAUGUGCUUUGAUCUAUUUAAUUGAUUUCGUCAUGUUUCA
RNAcentral lists this non-coding RNA (395 nucleotides) under Arabidopsis thaliana (thale cress). The record is from RNAcentral. Lineage: Eukaryota; Viridiplantae; Streptophyta; Magnoliopsida; Brassicales; Brassicaceae.